AUCCAGCUGACGAGUCUCAAAUACGACGAAAUGCUCAUUCUGCAU
This 45-nucleotide non-coding RNA is filed under the name Schistosoma mansoni. The record is from RNAcentral. Lineage: Eukaryota; Metazoa; Platyhelminthes; Trematoda; Strigeidida; Schistosomatidae.